Molecule: ribosomal RNA, 264 nt
Filed under: Pseudoxanthomonas sp. ISO130_OTU4230
Lineage: Bacteria; Pseudomonadati; Pseudomonadota; Gammaproteobacteria; Lysobacterales; Lysobacteraceae
Also listed under: 1 other name
Description: partial 16S ribosomal RNA
Rfam family: Bacterial small subunit ribosomal RNA
Source: RNAcentral
GUGAACGCUGGCGGUAGGCCUAACACAUGCAAGUCGAACGGCAGCACAGGAGAGCUUGCUCUCUGGGUGGCGAGUGGCGGACGGGUGAGGAAUACAUCGGAAUCUACCUUUUCGUGGGGGAUAACGUAGGGAAACUUACGCUAAUACCGCAUAAGACCUUCGGGUGAAAGCCGGGGACCUUCGGGCCUGGCGCGGAUAGAUGAGCCGAUGUCGGAUUAGCUUGUUGGCGGGGUAAAAGCCCACCAAGGCGACGAUCCGUAGCUG